UACAGAGGGUGCAAGCGGUAAUCGGAGUUACUGGGCGUAAAGGGCGCGUAGGCGGGUAUUUAAGUUUGAUGUGAAAUCCCUGGGCUUAACCUAGGAACUGCAUUGAAAACUGGAUGACUGGAGUACUGUAGAGGGUAGUGGAAUUUCCGGUGUAGCGGUGAAAUGCGUAGAGAUCGGAAGGAACACCAGUGGCGAAGGCGGCUACCUGGACAGAUACUGACGCUGAGGCGCGAGAGCGUGGGGAGCAAACAGG
This 253-nucleotide ribosomal RNA is filed under the name uncultured bacterium. RNAcentral describes it as "partial 16S ribosomal RNA". It matches the Rfam family "Bacterial small subunit ribosomal RNA", at positions 524 to 776 of the family's 1533-position model. The record is from RNAcentral.